Molecule: ribosomal RNA, 274 nt
Filed under: uncultured bacterium
Lineage: Bacteria
Description: partial 16S ribosomal RNA
Rfam family: Bacterial small subunit ribosomal RNA
Source: RNAcentral
AUACGGAGGGUGCAAGCGUUAAUCGGAAUUACUGGGCGUAAAGCGCGCGUAGGCGGUUUAGUAAGUCGGAUGUGAAAGCCCUGGGCUCAACCUGGGAAUUGCAUUCGAUACUGCUGGACUAGAGUAUGGUAGAGGGAAGUGGAAUUUCCGGUGUAGCGGUGAAAUGCGUAGAUAUCGGAAGGAACACCAGUGGCGAAGGCGACUUCCUGGGCCAAUACUGACGCUGAGGUGCGAAAGCGUGGGGAGCAAACAGGAUUAGAAACCCCGGUAGUCC